Molecule: transfer RNA, 74 nt
Filed under: bacterium
Lineage: Bacteria
Also listed under: 3 other names
Description: tRNA-Lys
Rfam family: tRNA
About the family: Transfer RNA (tRNA) molecules are approximately 80 nucleotides in length.
Source: RNAcentral
GGGCCGCUAGCUCAGUAGGUUAGAGCAUCUGCCUUUUAAGCAGAGGGUGCCAGGUUCGAAUCCUGGGCGGCUCA